UACGGGGGGAGCAAGCGUUGUUCGGAUUUACUGGGCGUAAAGGGCGCGUAGGCGGCCAGCACAAGUCAGUUGUGAAAUCUCCGAGCUUAACUCGGAAAGGUCAACUGAUACUGUGCGGCUAGAGUGCGUUCGGGGCAGAGGGAAUUCCUGGUGUAGCGGUGAAAUGCGUAGAUAUUGGGAAGAACACCGGUGGCGAAAGCGCGCGACUGGACCUGAACUGACACUGAGGGACGAAAGCUAGGGGAGCGAAAGGG
This 254-nucleotide ribosomal RNA is filed under the name uncultured bacterium. RNAcentral's name for it is "partial 16S ribosomal RNA". It matches the Rfam family "Bacterial small subunit ribosomal RNA", at positions 524 to 776 of the family's 1533-position model. The record is from RNAcentral.